Molecule: long non-coding RNA, 737 nt
Filed under: Hordeum vulgare
Lineage: Eukaryota; Viridiplantae; Streptophyta; Magnoliopsida; Poales; Poaceae
Description: long non-coding RNA (HVUL_LNC018654)
Source: RNAcentral
GACAGGAAUGCCCCCAGCGUCCAAGUCUGUCCGGUGGCUACACAGGGACGGCGUCUCUGCAGGGUAAGCGGAGGCGACGCAAAGCGCCCUGGUCGCGAUGACUGCGCCCGGUUGCUGAUAGGGGGCGCCCCAGGGUCCGGCUGGCCGGCAGGCCUCGGCAGGAUAGAGAUGUGGCCGCGACCGCGGGGUGACUCCUCUCCUGGUCUCUGCUCUUGUUGCGCGUCCGGGGGUUCAACAAAUCGAAGAACAGGCGGGCCCUCGGGCGAAGGCGUUUCUUCAUCUGUGUACGCCUCUUCUGCCGCGCGCAUCACUGUAGGAGUAGGCACCUUAGUGGGCAGGAGAUCGUUGGCCAGCGCCCCAGAGGCAGCGACGUCGGCCACCAGCCCAUAGGCCUCGGUCCCAGCGGCACCUAAGGGCGCUGGCAGUCACGAUGGCCGCGGGCCCCGCCUCCAGGGAGCAGGCUGGUGGGGACGGGGCGGCGUCAGCAGGGCUGGUGGGGGGGGGGAUGCACGUCCCGCCCUCUCCUCAAAGGCACGGGAAAGGAGCUGGGGGGGUUGGUCAAACGUGGGCAUCGUUGGUGCGGCAGCGGCGAGGGGUGGGAUCUGCUCUAUUUGCCCCGACCGGGGCGCAGGCGGCGACCUCACGUGCUGCACGGCGGGCCCCAGGCGCAGCAGGCACCGAUCCCGACAGGGCAUAAGAUCAGCCGCUGUAGGAGUGGCCCCGUCCGUAUCUGCUUC